This 67-nucleotide transfer RNA is filed under the name Chorthippus albonemus. RNAcentral's name for it is "tRNA-Arg". RNAcentral also lists the same sequence under 1 other name. The record is from RNAcentral. Lineage: Eukaryota; Metazoa; Arthropoda; Insecta; Orthoptera; Acrididae.
GAAUAAGAAGUAAAUCAUUACAUUCAGUUUCGACCUGAAAAAAUGGUAUAACUUAUACCCUUAUUCU